GGCGACUGAAACGGGACUAGACCAGCGCAUAACCUCGCGGCCCUGACGUGGCCGUCGAGGGGUGUUGCGUGAAGGUGGAUCCGUUCCGUCCGAGCCGCUCACCGCCUAAGUCAUUGCUUGAAAGCAGCCCCAUGGAGGGUGAUAGGCCCGUGUGGCGGCGCCUGUAAAAAGGGUGUAGGCGGCUUCGGGCGGGUGGGUCUUCACCGUAGAGUCGGGUUGCUUAGUACUGCAGCCCUAAGCAGGUGGUAAACUCCAUCUAAGUCUAAAUACUACCACGAGUCCGAUAGUCGACAAGUACCGUGAGGGAAAGCUGAAAAGGACUUUGAAGAGAGAGUUCAAGAGGACGUGAAACUGCUAGAGGCCUAAACGGGUGGAACCGCGAAGGGCGAACGAGGGGAUUCAGCUCGCCGGCGGUCGGCGUGCCGUGUGGUGGGACGGCCGUCCGAGCAAUCGGGCGGUCACAGGACCCGGCGUGAACUGGUAUUGCCGUGGCCCCGCCCCGGCUGCCGGCUCGUUCCGGCGGGCUUAUUUCUCCCUCCAGUAGUGAGCGCCGCGACUCGUUGCGGGGGCCCCCAGGGCCGUGGCGGACUGGUAGCCCGGGCCUCUGUGUCCGGGUGAUGACCGUCUGCGGUGCCGAACCGGGUCCCCAUGCGACGAUCACUGUGAGGAGGCUCCGUGAGGAGCCUCUCGCGGCGAGCGAGGGAUCGGUAAUCCACCCGACCCGUCUUGAAACACGGACCAAGGAGUCCAACAACUGCGCGAGUCUAAGGGUGCUGUGAGCAGACCCGGAGGCGCAAUGAAAGUGAGCCCGAGUUUGCGGGCAGGCCGAUCCCCGGCCGGUGGCCCGUUAAAGGUACUGUGGGGGGUGUGCGUGAGCGUCUGUUCCGUGCCCCUGUCCAUGACCGUACGGCCCCGGCGCCCGGCCGUUCUCCGAAGCCUUCACGGGCGGACGGGGCGGCCGGGAGUCCCUCUGUCGGACGGGGCGCAGGCCGAGGACUUGUCGCCCACGCGGCCCGGGCGACGGGGUCGGUCCCUUCACGGGGGCCGGUCCUUAGCCCGGUGUUUCCGCGGGCAAGUACCUGAGAGCGCAAACGUUGGGACCCGAAAGAUGGUGAACUAUGCCUGGCGAGGAUGAAGCCAGAGGAAACUCUGGUGGAGGUCCGAAGCAGUUCUGACGUGCAAAUCGAUUGUCAGAGCUGGGUAUAGGGGCGAAAGACUAAUCGAACCAUCUAGUAGCUGGUUCCCCGCGAAGUUUCCCUCAGGAUAGCUGGUGCUCGGUAUGAACGAGUUUCAUCCGGUAAAGCGAAUGAUUAGAGGCCUUGGGGGUGCAAUGCCCUCAACCUAUUCUCAAACUUUAAAUGGGUGAGAUGUGGAGCUUGCUUGAUUUUAUGAAGCUCUAUGGUGUAAAUCACGGAAUCGGAGUGCCUAGUGGGCCACUUUUGGUAAGCAGAACUGGCGCUGUGGGAUGAACCAAACGCACGAGUUAAGGGGCCUAAACGGAUGCUAAUGUAGACACUACGAAAAGGUGUUGGUUGCUAUAGACAGCAGGGCGGUGGCCAUGGAAGUUGGAAUCCGCUAAGGAGUGUGUAACAACUCACCUGCCGAAGCAACUAGCCCUUAAAAUGGUAUGGCGCUUAAGCAUCCUCCCGAUACUCGGCCGCCGGGACACACAAUCGGGCUGUAAACCUAGCCUCGAGGUCCCGGCGAGUAGCGGGGUCGCUGCGGUGUGCGACGAAGGGACCCGGCGUAGGCCGGCCUGGAGCCGCCGCGGGCGCAGAUCUUGGUGGUAGUAGCAAAUAAUCAAGAGAGAGCCUCGUUGGCUGAUGUGGAGAAGGGUUCCAUGUCAACAUCAGUUGAACAUGGGUGAGUCAGGCCUAAGCCCAAGGAUAAACUUCCUGUGUCCCAGGUGUUCCGCAUGCUCGGUUUGAGUUUGAGAGUGAGAACGAGCGAUCUUGACACCAUUACCGUCCGUGCCAAAGGUCCACCCACGGCCGCGGCGGGUCCCAGGAACAGUGUAGCUCGUUAAGGAGGAACGUGAGGCGUGUUCGGGUGUCUGUUCUCGGUCGCGGUGCACGCCACUCGCCUCCUCGGAGGUGGGUGUGCGUUCAGCACGGACCGGACGGCCCGGCCGCCGCCACGGGCCAAUAAGACGGCACGCUGGGAGAGGGAUCCCCGUCGUGGCUCACGGGUGGUGCCGAGUAGCCGGGCAGAGAGAACUCGAGCUGUUACUGUCUAUACGAACAACUGACAUCAAGCAGCCCUGGAGAGCUGGGAUGCAGUGGCGAAAGGGAACACGGUAAUCAUUCCGUGACCUGUGUUCGGACUGGCUCGGGCCCUUCCUCCGGGAGGGCCCGGGUCAUAUGUGUGACGAGCCCU
This 2376-nucleotide ribosomal RNA is filed under the name Hippolyte bifidirostris. RNAcentral's name for it is "eukaryotic LSU rRNA". The stretch from base 1 to 2023 matches the Rfam family "Eukaryotic large subunit ribosomal RNA". Lineage: Eukaryota; Metazoa; Arthropoda; Malacostraca; Decapoda; Hippolytidae. The record is from RNAcentral.